Long non-coding RNA from Acyrthosiphon pisum (pea aphid), 696 nucleotides. RefSeq lists it as uncharacterized. NCBI's taxonomy places the organism in Eukaryota, Metazoa, Arthropoda, Insecta, Hemiptera, Aphididae. The record is from RefSeq and is a predicted model, not a curated record. The transcript is spliced from 4 exons.
CGUAAAGAUUCAGUGAAGAUUUGUAGGGACACAUUUAUUAAACUAUAUUUUAAUUCCGUAUCAUGAAAUAAACCUUAUAUAAAUAAACACGGAAGACAUGGACUUGUAUAGUAUUAACUGUAUACAUGUUGGAAAUCGAAAAGCAUUGUAUUCAAUACCUCCAGAAUAUGGACACGAAUUUGAAUGAUUGGCUAAUCGCUUUUUUCCAACUAAACCGGCAAACUGCCCUGCUUUUCUCAGGCAUAAAGUGACUAUGAUAUCUCCCAAUAUUUUGGAACAAAAUGCUAUACCCUAUAAUAAAAUCACACAGGAGAAAGGUGAGUUCAUGGUAACGUUCCCCUUUGGAUAUCAUUGUGGGUAUAAUAAUGGCUUCAAUAUAGCUGAAGCUAUAAAUUUUGCAUCUCCACGUUGGGUGGAGUAUGGGAUAAAUGCUUCACUGUGUCAUUGCCGUAAAGAUCCAGUGAAGAUUUGUAUGGACACAUUUAUUAAACGUAUAUAAUAUUAUUAUUUGUCAUAACUUGAAGUUGUACAGUAGAUAUUGGAAUAAUGGCUUAAACUUACAAGGUUAUCGUAAUAGAAAUAUUAACGAUGUCUAUGUUUUUAUAACGAGCCGGCACUAUUUGUUAAAAUGUAAUUUUGUUCCGCUUGAAAAUAAAAUCAAAGACAUUUUUAUAUAACAUUAACGCGUUUAGCAUA